Molecule: unclassified non-coding RNA, 354 nt
Filed under: uncultured fungus
Lineage: Eukaryota; Fungi
Description: sequence contains ITS1
Rfam family: 5.8S ribosomal RNA (bases 1-102)
Source: RNAcentral
AAAGUGCGAAAAGUGUCAUGACUUGCAGAUUCCCGAGAGCUGACAAAUCUCUGAAUGCAAAUGGCAGUCGCGUUAGACCCGACUAUGUAUUGUAGAGUGUAGAUGCUCCAGCUAUUCAUCAUCUUUGUUUUGAUGUGUGUACGUCUCUGUACAUCUUGAUGACAAAGUAUGGAUCUGCGCUUGCGAUGGAUCUCUAUGUUCUAUCGCGAGUGUUAAAAGCAAAGGUCUACAUGAUUCCUUUGGGGAUUAUGUGCACCGAUGAAGUCAACAAACUAAAUCGGAUGCUCUUCGAAGACCGAAGAACAAUAUCUCUAUGAGCCACCUCUACAAUGCAUGAAAACCCGCUGAACUUAA